Molecule: long non-coding RNA, 742 nt
Filed under: Homo sapiens (human)
Lineage: Eukaryota; Metazoa; Chordata; Mammalia; Primates; Hominidae
Description: long non-coding RNA NONHSAT233748
Source: RNAcentral
GUUAUAUAGAGGCAAUCCUGUUUACUGGGUUCCCUCUUUGUAAAGUUGAGAAGAUGAACAGCCCCAGCUUCUAAGGGAGUUGAGAGUUAAAAGAGAAAAAAAAGCACAUUUUAAAAGCUACCUCAUACAAUGAUUAUUGUCAUUAUUAUUUGGUUCUGAGAGGAUACAGUCACUGUGUAUUCGGUGAGCAGGAAAAGUGUUGGGGUCUAAACGGUGCAUCUAGAAGAGUCUCUUCUGCCUCAGUGAGAGCAAAUCUCUCAGGGGAAAAAGACAAGUCUCCUUUGGCCAUAGCCAAUUGCCCGAUACUUCAUUUAUGCUCUCAGGAGACUGUGCAUUAGGUUCCAUAGACCUGCACAGAAUAGACAUGUGGCUUGAGGAUUGGUGAAAUUGACAACUUGGCUACAAUACCCUAAUUUAUGUCAGAUACAGACUGUAUGGAAUUUUUAAAGUGUGCUGCUCAGAAAGGAGCACAAAAAAUUUGCCUCUAUACUUACUGGUUCCUAGCACCAGUCUCUCUCAUGGACACAUGGAAGAGCUGUUCCAGGAUCACAGGCCUUGGAAAGUUUGGGCUUUGAGUUCCUGGCUAGUCUUACCUCCCUAUUAAUUUGCAUAAGAAUUUCUGGCCCAGUAAGGAGAUAGAACAUAGUGAGUGCAGGGACAGAAGACCUAGUUUUCAGUUUUGUUUUUCCUCCUCAUAGUGCCUACAAGCACGUAAUAUCCCUGUAUUUCGGGUUCUUUAGGG